UUGGACGGUCAAAGCGGCGUGGUCCUACCUGUUCCCAUUUCGAACACAGAAGUCAAGCGCGCCCGCGUUUCGGAGAAGUACUGCCUUCAUGGGCGGGAAGGCCGAAAAGCUGUCCUCC
RNAcentral lists this ribosomal RNA (118 nucleotides) under Candidatus Woesearchaeota archaeon CG10_big_fil_rev_8_21_14_0_10_32_9. Lineage: Archaea; Nanobdellati; Candidatus Woesearchaeota. The record is from RNAcentral.